CCAUACUCAGUAUGUGAGGUUUAGAGUAUGGAUCCCAUCGUAUGUGUGAGCAUCACACAAGAUUCCCCUGUAACAAAUGACUGAAAACAGAUUUCUGCUAGAGUACAAACAGAAAACGAAUCAGGAUACAAGGAAGAGAGGUAUAAAACAAGAAGAGGAUAAAAGUAUAACAGAUUCUAUGAUCCUGCUUGACUAUUUAAAGUGGGAAUGCACUCCUGUGAUGUAGCAAUGUUCAUUGGAGAAAAGCACAACUGGGACUG
This 260-nucleotide long non-coding RNA is filed under the name Homo sapiens (human). Its description in RNAcentral is "non-protein coding lnc-POTEC-7:1". Lineage: Eukaryota; Metazoa; Chordata; Mammalia; Primates; Hominidae. The record is from RNAcentral.